Columba livia (rock pigeon) is the source of this 6106-nucleotide long non-coding RNA. RefSeq lists it as uncharacterized. NCBI's taxonomy places the organism in Eukaryota, Metazoa, Chordata, Aves, Columbiformes, Columbidae. The record is from RefSeq and is a predicted model, not a curated record. The transcript is spliced from 2 exons.
CUGCCGCCGUCCUCCCCCUGCUGCCCCGCACCCGCCUCACCAGCACCUGAACUUGCUCCCAGCUGGGCAGGCGGUUGCGUUUCCACGCGAGGCACAGAUGGUGUCUGGAUGCCCAUGAGCCGUGGGGCGCGAAAGGACACUUUGCUCUUCCACGAGCACCGGGAAGCGGGUGCUGAGGGGGUGUCGGGGGGGCCGGAUUUGGAGGAGGGGACUGAGCAGAGCAGGACUGCAGGGCGAGCGGGUCCCCCCGCCUGCGGAGGACCCGGCGUUUCCCCCGGUGGGACGCGGUUCCCAUGCGUGUCCCCGCAGUAGCGAGGUACCGGCAGCCGGGCGAGCGUCCCCGUCCCGCCCCCCGCGCCCCUCUGCCCGCAGGUAAAUAAAUACACCCGCGAUGGAGCCGGCGUGUGCGCGGAGCCGGGCUCAGCGUGCGGCGGGGAUUGACACCUGAUUCUCUCUCCCUCCCGCACCGUGGGAGCAGAAGAGGACCCUGCUCUGCCAGCGCAUCGCUCAGCGCUGCAGCCUCUGCCUGACCCUCGGAUCUCGGCUGUUGGUAAAGCGGCGGCUCCUCGGGGCAGCUCCCUGACAUCCAGCUGCCCACUGAGCCCGGCCGUGCCCCCAGCACAGCCCUGUGCAGGGCACCAAGCCGCCAGGACCCCGCGGUGCUGGGGAUGCUGCGGGCAGCACGUGCUGCCCCUGCAUCCCCCAGCCUGUACCACUGCCAGGCAGGGCCCCGAGGGCUGCGGGUCCAUGACCUCCCGCCCGGUUGGAGAUCACUGUGAUGGGCGCCAGCGCCUCAGCAUCCCCUUCCCCUGCACAUCUCCUGUCUCUCGCUGUUUCAUGUUAUGAAGGAAAUUUCUACAAGAUAAACCAAGUGUUUGGGGUUCAGUGGCAGAGCCUGCAGUAGGCCAGUGCCCGAGCCGAGGAUGGGAACUGCCACAUUUGUGUUUAUGGCUUGUUAGUGCGGAUGUCCAAUUAUGAUGUUUUCUACUCCAGCGUUAACCACUUCACUGCCAGGGAAAAAACACAAGGGAGGAGGGGCAGCUCUGGAAGAUCCGAGGCUGGAGGUGAAAAUGGGUAUCGCUCGGGAUUGCAUUUCCAGGUUGAUCUGUGGAGCCAGAAGCUGAAGGGCGAGAGCAGAGCCCGGGCGCCUCCCUCACUCCCACAGAAGCGGCCAGCUAGGAGGGCAACGAGCCCCCCACCGCGGGGCCUGCUCUGCGAUCGCUUCCAGCUCAAUGGCUGCUGCUCCUCCCUGAAGCUAAAAUAAAAUCCUGACCAUUUAAGGUGAACAGGAGACUUGCCUGGACCUCAGCGAAGCAGGCUUUUAACCCCUUCCCAUUGCUGGGCUUUGUUUCCUCCUUGAGUUCCCUUCGGCUGCGAGCUAGUCCAGCUUAAAGGUGUUUAGGAGAGCUCAUCCCCCAGGCACGAGGCGCUGCCCCCAUGCUUGGAGAGCUCGCAGGGGACAUGCACCGGCCAGGGCACCAAUUGGAAGCACAGUCACUCUUCCGUGCUGCUUCACCAUGUGGACACUCUUAUUUUAUACUAAGUGCCUUUGUGUGGGUUAGGUUAAUCCACUUUGGAAAUGGAUUAACCUAAAUUUCAUAUCAGCAAACUUAGUGCCAAACAGCCGCGUCCACACAGGGAGUAAGGGAAGAACAGCGACCCAGCAAUAGCUGCUGGGCAGGAGCUUUUCCCCGUGCAGGGGAGGGGUCCUGACCCCAAGGGGGGUCACCACUGUUACAAGUGGGGUCACGAGCCCGACAGAACUGCGAUUGUGUGGGCCAGCAUUUGGGGUUGUGUGCUGGCAGAGCUGGGGCUGCCUCCAGAAACAGCUGGGGACACGCGGGGAAACGGCACGCCAAGCUCCUUUCUAGUGGGUGUUUUUUGGAUUCUUAUUAUCUAGGGGGAAAUAACCGGCAAUUAGGCAUGGAAUUGGUAAUAAUAAUUUAUCAAGUUGUCAGGAACAGGGGGAAGUGCCUUACGGGGUGACAUGCUAAAAAACACCCAACCAAACAAACCAUAAUAAACCAGUACUACUGUUAUUAUGGUAUUUUAUAUAUAUAUAUAAUACACAUCAAAUAUAUUAUUUAUAAGUCACUUCCUUCCCUCUCUCCUUGCACCAUGUUCGUUACUCCUGGUCCCUGCAAAGCCCCUCACACGGAAACAGAGGUGACCUGGGCUCCCUGCCAGGCCGUGCCCACCGGACGGACCCGUCGGUGCCACCCACGAGAGGGGCCGUGCCCUGCGCACGGGCAGCGCCGCUUCCGAGGGCAUCGCUAGCGAUGCCCUGACCUCAUCUGUCAUCAUUUCCUAAGGCAAAGCUCCACAAGAGUACCAGGGCCGCUGUCAAACCCAGGACUAAACUAUGUUUUUAAGGCACCGUAGGAGCUUAAUUGAAUAGCAGUGCUGUUGAGCGUGGCUGCAGUGAUCUAGUGGUGGCGGCAGGGGAUGCAGACGGCAGGAUCCGGCCGUUGUGCCACAGGAGUCAAUGACUCAUGGGCGACCUUGUGCAAGUCACUUGAUGCUCUUGUGCCUCUGAAAAGUAGGUUAAGUAAUGAACUGGACCUUCUGCACUGGGUCCUCCAUGACCAUCAGACCCCACUGGGUAAUACGUAUUAAAAUGCGAAUCUCUUGGGGGGGAGGCCAGUAAGGAUGGGGGGCAGAGGAGGGGCUGAAGGAGUGCCCCGCUCACAUAUGCAGCUUUUAUCAACAAUGUAUUUUAAUUUAUCUGGCAUCCAGAGCAGAAUUGGGAAAAAAAAAGGAGAGUGAUGAUUUGGGAAAUGUUUUCAUAGAGCAGAUUUGUGGUGGGCUGAGGGCUGUAUUCCCACUGCACCUUGGUGGCUCCUCCUGCAAGCAGCAGUUGCCAGCAGCUGGUAUACACAGGAAUAAAAGGGUGGGUUCUUCCCGGGAGCCAAGAGCAAGAGAUGGAAAGAGAAUCCAGCUCCAUGCUUCAUGUGUACAGCAGCCAGGGCCCAGAAAAGGAGCAGGAACAGAGUUGUUUCUGUGGGUGGAACACGCCUCCCCAGAGCACAGGGAACGGGUCAAUCGCAGCCAACUAUCCCCUCACAUUUCUUCCCAAAGCCUGAACCCACAGCACCAGCAGGAACGUCUGCAUCGCACCAUACAGAGGACAACCCUCACAGCUCAUCUCUUGGCCACCCAGGUCAGAAUUGAGCCAACAUAAACAUAACUGCCGCUAAAUCAAUUUUUGGCCAUUCCCGGCGUGUUUCAGAAACCAUCUUUGCAAGGAAACCCGGCUCCUCUGAGAUGCCCGCGCUCGGUUUGCGCACACAGGGCUCCAGCACCGUGCGAGCCUCAGCACAGCUUCAGCCACAGCGGAACCAAGAGCGAGCACACCAUUCAAGGUUAAAAUGCUGAACCACACAGCUUCAUCUUCUAUAAUAACGGAAAUCAUUAAUAAUAGUUUGUGCUCUCAGAGUAGUUGCCAUCCAAGCUCUUGAAGAGUUUUAUUAGUGAGCAAGACCUCAGAAAUCUCUCUAAGGUAUUAUCCCCUUUUCAAAGGGAGAAGGCAAUUAAGAAACAGCCACUUGUGUGACUUGAUCAAAGUCAACACGCAGCACGGCAGCACCUGAGCUUGGGAGACAGUGCAGAAAACCUCACCAAGUGGAGCUUUCCACAGGUACGGGAUAAAUCUAAUAGCAUCCUUGAGAAUAUUCCAUGGACGUUAAACGCUUUCAUCACCAUGCGGUACAGCUCUCCACCUUUUCCCCAUGAAUGUUUCCUAGCCCCACUUUACAGGAGCUGGACCAAACCUUUGUCUCCAGUUCUACUGGGAACAGCUGCCUUGCUGCUGGUCACCCCAGAGAAUUUCAGACAGAUUCACCCCAGCCAGCCCAUGCUGGGGUCUCCAGUUGUUUGCUUGCACUGAGCAACCACAAAGCUCACCUGUCCUGCAGCUACACUGGGAAAAACACCAAAACAUCCCCACUACGGGAAAUAAAAGCUCUCACGUUGUUACUAGCUGGGAACGUCAGAGUUAAUUCCGAUGACAAAAAGGAGUUGCCGCUCGCUGAAAGCAAGCCAUUCACACGGGUUGGAAACCAGGCUGAACGGUCUGAUCAUCUGACCUCCCACAUCUCAUGAGCCAUUGAGGCCAAAGAUGAAAGUUUCGCUAAACUAUCUUGGCCAGUAAAGAAUGCUGUUAUGACGACCAGAGCCGAAUCCCCAGCUUUUGCCUGGACAAAGUCUGUCAUUUAGGGCAGAACUUACAUUUAACAGGCAGAGCUGCAUCCCCACUAGAGGGCUUUGUGCUGCAGACCCACGAGGAAGCCUCCAGCACAUGGAUUAAAUCCGGAUUUCUAACAGUCACGGUGCCUCUCUGUGUGUGAAGCCAAUAUUCCCUUCUCUUCUGUGGGGAAGGGUGACUAAGGGAACUUCUCUGGUGCUCCAAAAAGUCUUAAAAAUGAGCACCAGGAAACAAAGAUCUUGGCAAGCCAAGGAAAAGCCUCUGGAACAAGAGUUACCUUGUUGAGUGGAUUUAGAGGCAUUUAUUCCUGGAGAUGUUUCACACUCUCUUUAAUGAACUGGGAAGUACCUUCUCAGCCUCAUGUGAUGCAAACGCAUCAUCCCUCUUCCUUUCAGACACUGACUGCAUGCUCCUGCCUUCUCUGCACAUCUACAAACACACAUGGGGUUUCUCUUGGAUCCCUCCAACAGAUCAGCCCAAGGCCUGGAUCACACCCAGCAGCUGCCAGCUCUGCCAGAUUCGGUUCUAGUCCCUGGACUACAUGAAAUGAGACGUCUGCAAACCUCACCAAUGAGUGCAGAGACUGGAAAUGAAAACCCAGCGUGUUCUGUUCCCCAGCCGCUCGCUCCUCCUGUGUUGCCUCCCCACUGCCAGUGCUGCGGCCUCGGAGCCGCACAGGGAUGGAACCAGCAGACGGAACCGCGAGCUGCCCGGGGAAGGGGCACCUGGGCUGUUCUGGCAACACCGGAGCCUCCCAAGACACUGCAGUGAGCCAGCACAGAGAUGGGUGUGCCAGGGACAGCGCACAGUCGAAGGAGAAGGAUUCGCAUCACAAACCAGCCUCGGUCACGAGGCUCUCACAGCUCCCAGAUCCGUCAGAGGAUCCUCACCAGUGUCAGACAAAGCCAACUCCCUGUACAUCCGUGGCAUCUGAGCCCCGCAGUGUGCCCCACCAGGAUCAUCCUGCUGUUCGGGUUCAAACAUUGCUUGAAAUCAUCUUUUGAAAGCCACUUCAGAUCCAGGCACCGUCACACACUCCAGGUUUACAGGGACAUCACUGGGCGGAUGGAGCGCGAGCAGGACCAGGCGCCGUCCUCUCCAGCGCUCGAGUCCGCGCAGCAAGGCCAUAGCAACGAGAAAAACACUCCUGCCAUUCACCGACUGCGCGAUCUCCUGUCAGCAGCCAUUGAACAACCUUGGAGGAUGUUUCUGUGUCAUUCAAACCUGGUUCCUCGGCCCUGGACUGCGGCUGCCAAGGCAGCAGCAGCAUCUCCAGAGCAGAGAGUGAGGCUGGCAUGUCAGUGCUGGGAUUUGUUCUUUUAAAACCUUCAUAUCCUACCAGCCACCAGUGGAAGUCACACCCAACAGUGUGGCAUGAGAAAUAAAUCCAAGGCUGACUUUGAAUAAGACAGAAAAAAUUGUCUGGAAAAUGACUGCAAUAAACUCAAAUAACCAAUCAUUUAAAAAUGUUAAUAUGUAGCAUUUGAAAAUGAGGUGGAAGGAUCAUUAUAGAUAAAUAUCACAUAUCUUGUUUUCAUUCUUUUUUGCUGCUAGACUGGGAAGGUCAGAAGUUCCGACACGCUUUAAUGCCUCGGUAGAUACCCUGAAAUGUGGCUCAUUUGGCACUUUGGAGAAGGCGAGGGGCCUGAUUUUUCUCACACAUGUGAGAAUUGGUAUAAAAUGGGAAGAAGAUUCACACCCCAGCAGCUCCUGCAUAUUCUAGUGAGCCCAGUGUAAGCAACACGGGUCACAGUUGUUUUCCAUCAUGCCAGAAUAAAUGUACUGACUCCAAUAAAUAUAUUGGAAUAUAUUCUGGAGGAACUCUUCAUUCUGUGAGCAACCAGGUAAAGAGCUCCUCUCUGAACUGGUUCCUGUCCCUCAGCAGAGAUAAAAUGCUUUUUC